RNAcentral lists this ribosomal RNA (374 nucleotides) under uncultured bacterium. Its description in RNAcentral is "bacterial SSU rRNA". It matches the Rfam family "Bacterial small subunit ribosomal RNA", at positions 527 to 896 of the family's 1533-position model. The record is from RNAcentral.
GUAGGGGGCGAGCGUUGUCCGGAAUUAUUGGGCGUAAAGAGCUCGUAGGCGGCUUAGUAAGUCGGCGGUGAAAUACCGAGGCUCAACCUCGGCACUGCCGUCGAUACUGCUAUGGCUAGAGUUUGGUAGAGGAGAACGGAAUUCCCGGUGUAGCGGUGGAAUGCGCAGAUAUCGGGAGGAACACCCGUAGCGAAGGCGGUUCUCUGGGCCAAUACUGACGCUGAGGAGCGAAAGCGUGGGGAGCAAACAGGAUUAGAUACCCUGGUAGUCCACGCUGUAAACGUUGGGCACUAGGUGUGGCGACCCGAUCAACGGUUGCCGUGCCGAAGCUAACGCAUUAAAUGCCCCGCCUGGGGAGUACGGCCGCAAGGCUA